Molecule: long non-coding RNA, 25936 nt
Filed under: Populus trichocarpa (black cottonwood)
Lineage: Eukaryota; Viridiplantae; Streptophyta; Magnoliopsida; Malpighiales; Salicaceae
Description: long non-coding RNA (PTRI_LNC001932)
Source: RNAcentral
UCUUUUUUUGGGUAAACAAACUUCACCUUCUGGAUAGUAAUUGGAUCCAGGAAGAACUUGACAACCUAUACAAAUGAAGUAACACAAGGUUCGUCAUUCCAAACAUGAAGGGGUAAAACAUUUCAAGCAAUACAAAUGUAGCAGUUAUGCGCAUAAUACAACAGAAAAGGCUCUAUCUAUGAUAAAUUUUCAAAUCUACCUAGGAGAUAUAUCUAGAACACAUAUACCAGUUCUAAAGGGCAAACAUGCAUAUUAUAAGAUUUCACCUGAGGGGGGGGUGGGAGUUUCUAUCACUAAACCUAAUAACAGGGCAGACCCUCCCACCCUCUCCCAUCUAAUCUGAAUGGAGAAGAGGAUAAGAGGAGAAAUAAACAAAUCAACUGCCCAGGUGAUAGAAAUAACUGACAGAAGAAGACACGAUCUAGAGCACCACACUUGGUCCUCGACACAUUUUGAGUUGUCUAGAUUAUUUUGGUAAAGAGGGAUAUCAUGCAAUGUAAUUUAGUGAGAAGCAAAUAAGAUAGUCCAUACUUUCCAAUACAUUUUAUUAUGUUCACUUAAGUUCUACUAAAUCCAUUAAUUGUAUGAAAGUUGAGCUACUAUGACCACGGGUUCUCUGAAACAUGAGGUAUUAGUUAUGGAAGAAUUCCAAAUUUUAACCUUUCAAAGCCCCAUGGUAUAUUUUAUACCAAGUAACAAUCAAUAUGCAAUCAAAAAAUAAUUUGCCAAAAGAUCAGUGAGUGUUAGGUUAAUCCAAAUAUCAAAUGGACUGCAAUGGACAUUAGGAAGAAGCAUGCACCUUCCAAAAUGCUUCAAAUAUUCUAGGCGGAUUAUAAAGAAAUGCAACAGCAAGUCUCUCAGGGUAAUGGUUCUGUAAGAUGUUAAUGCAUUCACGGGCAGUUUUGAUGGGGACCUUGACGCUCAAACCCCAUCCAGUGAAGUCUAUCAACCAUGACAUUUGUUCUUGACCCUCACCAAGGUUAAGAAUACCGUUCUCUAUAAGAUAAACCAAAUGGCGGACAUUGUCUUCUGCACAUGUUGUGUUCUGCAAAAAUGAAAGAAAAGGUGGAAGGUCAAUCUACAAAAGCUAAGUCACAGAAACUUUAUAAAUGGGGAAAAGACCAGUAAGAAGACAUCAAUAAAUAUAAAAAAGAAAAAUCCUAGAACAAACCUGCAUUCCUGGUCUCAUUAUGAGCACAGUCCUCCCAGAUCGAUCAUGAAAAUCUGCUCUGGAGACUUUACCAGUCUCGCCUUCAUGAGCUACUUCAUGCUGCAUAAUAGUAAGGGAUUCAAUUGAUCUAAUAGAAUGAAAAAAAUAUUAUAAAAAAAUUGAUGUAUCAAGCAUAUAUAGAAUGGAAAAACAUUGUAGAAGUUAUUAAAAUAAGUAGGCAACAAUGCAUACCCAGCGGAUUUCUUCAGGCUUAUAAGUUGCUCUCCACUUGAGUGUCUCUUCCAACAUUUUCUUUGCCUUGUCGACAUUCCAGUUCCGCGCUAUUAAAUAUCUCCUCAGGCAUGCAUCAGUGCAGUACUUUACACUUCGAUCAGAAAGAGGUCCUAGAGCAGCCCUGAGUUCACUGACCUGCUUGCAGAAAAAGUAUUCAACAUCUGUCUUUCAAUCACUCGGAAAUCUUAUCUUGUUCAGAUAAAACAACAAUUUGAAAGAAGUUUCUCAUUUUGUUCAUAAACCUUGCUUCGGAAUGAUUGUAAAAUCAUAAAUUCAUUUCUUGAUGUGAUGACACUUAUAGGGUGAAACAAAAAACAAAAGCUUUCUACUUAAAUGUCUGCCAAACUUUGACACUACCUUUGCUUCUUGUUCUGCAAGGCCAUUCUCCUGAUGAUUCUGAGAGUGCUUUCUUCGAAACAUGUUGACUGCCAAUAAAGUUGAACCUAUGGUAAGUAAUCUUCAAUAGAAAAGUCUGUUAAGGAUAAUUAUUUGCCAAUAGAGUUGAACCUAUGGUAAGUAGUCUUCAACAUAAAAGUCUGUUAAGGAUAAUUAUUUCCAACCAAUUUAUUUUGCAGCUGAACUAAUAGCCUCUCAAAAGGCCUAAAUCGAAAUGGAAAUACAACCUCCACCUAAAAAACGCAGGAUUUGUAGCAAACUCAAAGACAGACCAACAAUAUUGAAUAUUUUAUCUUGAUUUGAAUACAGAAAAAUUAAACUUGCCAACAAAAAAACUUUCAUGAACGAUAGGCUGUAUUCCACCACACACGAUCUAAUGGCAGACAGAAUAGGAAUCGUUGGUCAACCUUUUCUUAUUCUGUUUAUUUUUAUCUUCUAAAAAAUUGGUAGUAGUGUAUUGAUCUAUUUUAUCGAUCAGCAAACCAAUGGGAGAAUCCAUGAUCCAAUCAAACACUGAUCACCGAGACUACACAAUGGCCGCCCUGAUCCAACCAAACCUUAUACUUUGGUUUCUAAACAUAAAUACAAACACAAACACUAACAGAUUUCAGAUUACUUCAGUUCCUUGAACCCAAAACGCUGAAUAUUUUUACAGUCUAGAAUAUCCAAACCUCUACACAGCACAGGCAAUCUUAGUAAUCACCGAGCAAAGAAAUUACAACCUAAGACUUACCAAAACUAAACGACUUAUCAAAACAUGAAAAACCCACCAAAGAGUAAUUCAGCAGAUCUCAAAUAACCUAAUCAUUUAAAAAAAAAAAAACUAGAACAAUGUGCUCCACAUCACAUUAAGGAAAAAAAACACAAAAACAGCCUUGUGAGUUUAACAAGAGCAACAGAUCUCCACCAAACUCACACACAACAAACCCCAAAUGAAAAAAAAGCCACUUGGUCAUGAAAUGUAGAGUUUAACAAACCUUGUGAGCAGUGAAGCAAAACAAAGAGAGCUCUCCCAGAUUCUAUAGUGGUGAGCUUAUUUAAAAAACCACUUUUUAGGUGAUGGGGAUGAUUCGGGUUCUGUGGAGAGGCAAUAAAGGUGUGACUUUUAGAUUUAGACAAUGGUCCUCGAGAGUUUUGGAGAGUUAUAGGUAGAGUAGUACAUUUAAUCUCUCUCUCAUAAAGGAAGAACCCAACCAGAUUCGGAAGAAAGGGAAAGCGAGGGAGAUGUGUUCAGGGAAACUUGAUAUGUUCAUUUAUAAUGGGAAAGCAAAAGGGCGAGAGCCGCUUGACAUGACUUGGAAUCUUUUGCAGGGCAGGGUGACUGGGACCUUUUGUGGUGGAAUGUAGAGUCUGCCCAUAUUAAGCAUCUUUUCUACGUUCUUUCUAGUUUCUAGAGGCUGGACGACUUUGUGGACUGAGGCAGAAGGGCGUUCCACUAAAUUAAAAAAAUAAAAAUAAAAAAUUUAUAAAUUUUUAGAUUAAUUUAAGUAAUAAUUUCAAAAAUAUUUUUUUAAAAAUAAAAAAAUAUUUUUUAAUAUAAUUUUAAAUAAAAAAUAUUUUAAAAAAUAAUUAUUACUAUACUCUCAAACACUAUCUAAUCUAAAUAUAAAAUUAAAAAAAAUUACUGAGAAAAUUGGAGGGCAGACCAUGUUUUAUAUAAGAAUAAAAAUGAAGAAAUUAGAGUCGAAAAGAAAAAAAAUUUACUGAAAAGAAAGCAUUAUUGGAGCAAUUAAUAUCCUUGUUAAUAUGUUUCAUAGAGACUAACUUUUCAGGUUAUUAAUGAUAUUUAAGCUAAUGUAUUUAUAAGAAGGUUAGAGAGGUGAAACUUUUCUCAAACUUAAAGUCAUUAAAUGAUUUUUUUUUAAUCUUGAUUUUAAUUUUAAUUUAUUAUAUUUUGAUAUAUUUGAAAUCAAGCUGUCUACGUUUUUUUCCAGGAUUUUGUGUAUAUUUUACAUAUAAAACUGAUUAAAUGACUUAAAUAUUCUCAAUUUCAAUAAUUUUCAAUGAUUGUUUUUUAUUUUUUUUAAUAGAAUUAAUUUGAAAACGAACUAAAUAACUUAAAAUUUAAUAUCACAUUUCCAGUUCUCCAUCCAAAUAUUCUUAAUUUUAAUUUUUUUAAAAAAAAAACUUGAUAGCCUAAAUACCCUUUUUUCUGUUCAAAUAAAACACCAGCAUUAUUAAAAUAUUUUCUUAAGGAAAAUUAAACAAAAUAUUUUAAAGGAAUAAUUAAGAUUAUGAUUUAAAUUCUAUCUUUUAAAUUCAAAAUUAAUUUCAUAGAAAAAAAUUUAGAACUGAUCAGUUCGAUUAGUGUAAAGGUUCUUAAAAUUAAGGAUAUUUAAGUUAGUUUUAUUAGUUUUAUAUUUAAAAUAUAAAUAAAAUCCUGAAAAAAUAAUAAAAGGACUUGAUUUUAACUAUAUCAAAUUAUAAAAGAUCAAAAUUGAGAUUAAAAAUAUAUAAACUAAUUCAAAAAUAAUUUUAAACUCAAAAAAAAUAUUUAAUUUAAUAUCAAGGUGCACCACGCUUCAUUAUUAUAAAUGUCUUUCUCAGUACAGGAGAGUAACAAUGAUAUAUCAGCUAGAGAGGUGGUGAAAUAAUAAUUCCAAAAAAUGCAUGCAUUUGAUUUACAAUAAUAUAUGCUAGUUUUCCCGAUUCUCCUAUUAUUUCACUAACCAAUCAUUGAAUAUUCAUAGGCAUUUAAAGAAAAAAAUUGAUUAAGUGAUAUGAUAAGACAUUUAACCUUUGUUUUUUAUUAUUUUAGGUGGGGGAGGGGGGGUCCUUUUCUUUGAGUUCUUUGGGAUUAUAGCAUGGUGAAAAAAAAUAACAUAAUGUAAAAAAUAUUUAGAAAAACAUUAAAACAUUGAGAGAUGCAAAUAAUAUCUGAGAUUCCCGAGUUGUAAGUGUUAUAUGCGACUUUAAAAUUAUAAAAUUAAUGGACACAAGAUUUAAUAAAAAAAAUGAGAGAGAAGAAAAAAGAAAGAAAAAAAAAGAUUUUAAAGACACACUAAAACUCCAAUGAUGACACCACCAGUAUCGUUAGAAAGAUUUUGACGAAAAGCAUCCAACAAUACCAAGAAAGAUCAUCAACGAUGAUCGAAGUGUGUCACUUGAACACCCCAAAAACAAGUGAACCUUAACACUUUUAGAUGGUUUGUAUGACUGCUUCGUUUACCAUCUAUGAAUUUCUUUGUGGAUUCAUCAAUAAAGAAAUUCAGAAUAACUAGUGUUCUCAUCAGAAUUUAAUUUGCCUAUGAGAUCUUUUCCUCUUUUUUUCUUUUCUUUUUCUUCUUUCUCUUUUAUUAUUUUUCUAUAUUAAAUAGGUGUUUAGCAAUUUUAUAAUUUUUUAAAAGUCGUAGAUAAGAACUUGAGAAUCACAAAUGUCAUAAGUAACUUUCUAAAUUCCAUUAUUUUUCUAACUAUAUUUUACAUGGUAUUAUUUUAUAUAUAUAUAUAUAUAUAUUAGAACCCAUGGAACUUCCUUUUCUCUAAUGAUGAUGAAAUAAUAAUAAGAUAGCAGUUCGUUUUUGACCCUCCUCUUUUUGACAUUGGAUUCUUUGACCUUUUUAUUUUCUAUCAAUUCAUUUAUAUUUUCUUCUUCGGCAUAUUUUUCUAAAGAACGUAAUAGGUUUUAUGAGUUUGUUUCCUACCGUAAAUAGUUAUUUUUAAAAAUAUUUUUAUUUAAAAAUAUAUUUCAAUAAUAUUUUUUAUUUUUUUAAAAUUUAUUUUUAAUAUCAGUAUAUCAAAACGAUUUAAAAAUAUCAAAAAAAUAAUUUAAAAUAAUAAAAAAACAAAAAUAAAAUUAAUUUUUUUAAAACACAAAAACAAACGGACGGUUAAAUAUACAUAAACAUAAGAUAAUAUAUUUUAUUAAGCCAUCUUAUGGAAAUUUAGAUUGAUAGGCAUUGAAUUUAAUUUUUUUUCAAAACAAUAUUGGUAUACAAGAACAUUAAUAAUACUUGAGUACAAGUACCAGAUGGUUGGAGACAAUUUAAAAAAAAAAGGUCCUAAACCUAUAAGAAUUCUAAACAAUCCAUGAUGUGUUCUUCGAUCCUCUCCUAUCGUCAAUCAAUUUGUGUUUGAAUUCUUUUCUUGAUAGUUCUGCAGAUGACGGUCAAUUGGGGCAAUUAACUUCAACGUAUUAAACCAUAUAAUAACAGUUGAAGAAAAGAAAUACAUUUCAAGAUUGUGGUCAAUUUCUCGUUAAAAUAUCAGAGCUGCAAUUGGCCCAUAUUAAAAUUAAAAUUAAAUAAAAAUCAAAAGGGAUCAAUGAAUCCUUGUAGCUUGUGAGACAAAACAAAAAAUUGGAUUGAUAUAGUGUUUUGCUUCUUUUUUUUAUUAUGGUCUCUUUUUGUCGAUUAUCGAAAAACAAUUUCACGGGUUGCAAUUUAUUUUUUUCUAGUAAAUAACGUGUUGCAAAAAAGAAAAAAAUAAUAUGGUUGGCAUGAGACGAUUACAAACGUAAAUUUAUUACAUUUAUUUAGUGAUACGUAACGUAACGUGUUAGGGAUAUGUUUAUAAAUUAAUUAGACAAGAUAGAAUUAAAAAAGAAAUCUUGAUAUUUUAAACACUGACAAAAACAAUUAUAAUUUUAUAUCUGAGGCUGAGAUUGACCGGGAAGGGGUUUUACUGGUCUUAUUACCUCUGGAGUCAACCAUCUAACUUGACAUAAAGUCGAUGUCAGAAAAGCCGUAGAAAUAAGCUAAGAAGAUGGUGUUUUCUUGUUUAUUUUUAUUAUUAUUUCAGUUUAAUGAAUUAUUGAUUUUAAAAAUACAGUUUUUCUUUAUAAUUCAAGACAGUAAUUUUAAAGAUUGGGAAACCCUAAUUUAUCAUUUACAGGGGGACCCAAACUAAGCCUUAAUUUCGACUGUUUUAGUUUAUUUGGAAUAGAAAAGGUUAACCAUGUAAUAGCAUUUUCAUCGAUUUGUAAGUAUAUAUAUAUGGACGCAGCCUGAAUUGGUUCCCAAGGGCUCGAGCCUGACGACAAGCUGUUACAAUCAAAACGUCAAUUCUGAUUAAUGUCAACGAAACCGUACAAGCUUAUAUAAUUGCCGCAUUAUUAGGCAUUGGUGGUCCAAUCAGUACUGUUGAUUGUUGAAGAAAUUUUCCCUCAUAAAUAUUAUAUAAACUGGGAAAAGGUAGCCGCUGUGUCUACUGUUUUUUAGACGGAAAAGUAAAGUAAUAAUGGUUUUUAAAAGUAUUUUUUAUUUAAAAAUAUAUUAAAAUAAUAUUUUUUAUUUUUAAAAAAUUAUUUUAAUAUUCAAACAUCAAAAUAAUAUAAAAAUAUAUAAUAUAAUAAUUUUAAACAAAAUUGUUUUUAGUAAAAUAGCGUUUGGAAUGUAGUCAUCAACAUUAUUUUUAAACAAAAUAUAUUUAGAAUUGUGGUAGAAAUUGUGUUUUAAAAUAUUUUUACUUAGAAAUACAUUAAAAUAAUAUUUUUUAUUUUUAAAAAAAUUAUUUUGAUAUUAACAAUCAAAAUAAUUUAAAAAUAUAUAUAAAAAUAAUUUUUAAUAAAAAAAUUCAAAAUUAAAGAAAAACACGCAGCCCGUAUAAAUCAAUGUGGUUGAUAUAGCUACGGGUCCAUUUUCAUGGCUGGCGAUUUUGAAUAAGCCAACAACCAAAGACAAGGAAGAAUAAACGCAUGCUUUCUUGGUGUCCUUUUUCGUUUGUAAAGCAUGAAGGAAGAGAAUGGGUUACUCGUAACGUUCAUAUAUUAAAGUUGUUAAUGUAUAUGCUCUGUAUAUGCCCUGAAAUAUAUAUAUAUAUAUAUAUAUAUAUAUAUAUAUAAUAUUGAUUUUGUUUAUGUAAAUGUAUUUAAUUUAUUAAUAAAGUUUUAUUUAUUUUUAAUAUUUAUUAAAUAUUUGAUUAAUGAAUUUAGAAAAAAUAUAAAGUUCUCGGGACAAAAAUACUUUGCAAAUAAAAUUACAAUAUUACUAUAAUCAUAUGAUUCUUAUUGUAUCAAAUCAUUGUUCCUAAAUGCUCUUGGUCAAUACUGAUCAUUAAUUAGAGUUGUUGAGACAAAUAUAUAUUAUAUCCUUUUAUUUAUAAAAUAAAACAGUUGUUCUAUUUAUGAAAUAAAACAAUUGUUCUCAUAAACUCAUGUAUCCUUAGAGCUAACAUGUAGGUGCUUGUCGGAUGACAUAUACACUAAAUUGACCCGAUGAGAGUUCUAUAAAGAGAGAUCAUUUGUGUCUAUGAAAAGACUCAUGUGACGGUUGUGUAAGUGAUCCUUAGGCAAGAGAUUACUAAGUUAUCUUAGAUAGAGAGUGUUAUGUUUUGAUCUUGCUACACGUUGUUCAAAUCAAGAGUAGCAAACAAGCAAAUAUUGAGUAUAACAUGAACUAUAUGAAAGUAUUUAAAUAAUUUAUAAAGGAUUCAUCACCCUAAGUGAAUUAUAAAAAAAAUGUUUCAUUUGUUCUCAAAUAGUAUUGAUUGUAAAUCUUUACACAAUAUGAAAUGAGAUUUAAAAGGAGUUUCAAAACUUAUUCAAAUAAUCAAUGACUAUAAUGUUGAGAACAAACAUGAUUUGACAAAAUAAAUAUACUUCAUGCUAUAUUGUUUAAAUAAGAAUAUUGUUGAUGAAUGAAUAAUGAUUAAACUGAGAAAUUGAUCACUGAAAGAUAAAAUCAAAUUGCUUAUGACUUUCCUAAUAUUUAGAGAAUCAUGACAAGUUGUUAAAUAUUAUACUUGAUGUUCAAAUAUAAAUCAAUCAACUGAUUUGUUUAAUUCUAUUUAAUUUAUUAUUAUGAUUUAUAUUUGAGUCAAUUUAUUAAAGAACCUAAUGGUUCACGCACAUAAAAAUCAUUGGUCAAAAAUUAAAAUGGGAUGAUUAAUCAAAUGUGACUUGAUUGUAAAUAAAUUUUAGAAAUUAAGAACUAGAAUGUAAUUAAUACAUGAGAUUACAGUUCUAGACCUAUAAACAAUUAAGUAAGGACUUGAUUGAAUAAAUUUCUAAAAUAAACCCAAAAUGAUAUAUGUGAUAUUAUUUAAGGGGCAAGUUAAAUUCCUCUUUUCUAAAAAGGAUUAUGGUUUAUAACAACCUGACCUUAAAGUAAUUGUUCAAAGUAAAAAAAUCUUCAGGUAAUAUUUGUAUAAAUCCUAAAAAACCCUAAGUCUAUCUAACGGAAUCUUCAAAACUCCUAAUUUGUUUUUUAAAUUAUAGUUUUUGUUAUGUGUAUGUAUUUAAAAAAACCCAUCAAAUACAACAUAUACACUACAUAUUAAUUGUUCAGCUGGUAGAAAAACCUACAUGGAAGCUAAACUUUUCCUUUCUUUUCCUCAAUUUGUUUGAUUUUUUUUUAUUUCUUUGAAUUAAACGUUUAAAAUGGAAGUAUUAGAUCUAGUCAGUCCAAGCCCUCCACAAAAAGUGUUGUUCUUGUAAUUUUUUAUGUAUUUAGUAUUGUGGUAUAUAAUAUUUUUUAAAAGUGUUUUUCACUUGAAAAUAUAUUAAAAUAAUUUUUUAUUUUUUUAUUGUUGACUUUAACACAUCAAAAUCAUUAAAAAAACAUCAGAUGAUAAUUAUUUUCCUCAGCCUGUUGCGGAGAUGCAAGCUUUGUAGAAGGGACAAGGUCAUGUAUUGCAAGGAAGAAAUAAUUAUUUUCCAACAAAAAAGGAUAGAAGUAAUUAAUUGCUCAUAAAAAAAGAUUGAAGUUAAUAGAAUGGAAACUAUUUAACAAUAGUUUCUUUUCAUACAUCAGAUGAUAUUUAGCACUAAACAUGAGUUUAUAACCGAUUAUGUUUAUUAAUUUACCCAUGCGGUUUCCGGUUCCUUUUUUUAGAUAUAGUCCAAGCAACACUUUUCUUAUCUUCAGUUGCUAGCAUACCAGAUUGAGCAUCAGGCAGCCCAGAUUAGCUAGCUGUUAUUGCAAGAGGCGCUGGCACUGGUGUCAUCUGAGCUAAAUGGUCAUGAUCAGCAAUAUUGUCUCUCGACUUUUCAUCAGAUCCCCAGAACUUGGCAGUUCUUUCGUCAUCCUCGACCAUCAACCGUGAGAACUCCUCAUGGUCAUACUCGAGUGAGGCUUUUCCCCCAAAUUCACUUGGAAGAUUUUCAAUAUCAAAGUAAGACUGCAUGAGCUCCGAACUUUCUUUCUUUUUUGGGUAAGCAAACUUCACCUUCUUGAAUGUUAUUGGAUCCAAGAAGUACCUGACAGCCUGAAGAGAUGGAGUAAUAACAGGUUCAGCAAUACACAUGUCCAGGUGCUAAAUUUAAAGUAAAAUAAAUGCAGCAAUUUUAUGGCUAUCCGAAACCCGAGUCUAGUCCAAUAUAAAAGGUCAACUGCACAGGUGGUGAAAAUAGACUAAUAGAAUUGUGAUGCCCUCUAGAGCACGAUGCUUGGUUUUCAACAAACAUAAAUUUGACCGCUGAUUAUGCUCAGAAUAAACAAAAUGGACGUGUGACAGAAGAACAAACCUUCCAGAACGCCUCGAAAAUUCUUGGAGGAUUAUAAAGAAAUGCAAUGGCCAGCCUUUGGGGAUAAUGGUUUUGCAAAACAUUAAUGCAAUCACGGCUAGUUUUGAUGGGAAUAUUGGUGCUCAAGGACCAUCCAGUGAAGUCUAUCAACCAUGACAUUUGUUCUUGACCAUCAGCAAGGUUAAGGAUUCCAUUUUCUAAAAGAUAGACCAUGUAGCGGACAUUGUCUUCAGUACAUUUUGUGGUCUGCCAAAUUGCAGAAGAAGAGGUCAAAGGUCAAUUUGCAAAAGCUUCGGUCACAGUAUGCUUGCUUAAGAGCCAGAAAAAUAAAAAUCACUAGAUAAAAAUGAGGGGAAAAAACAGUACAAACCUGCAUCCCUGGCCUCAUUAUAAGCACAGUCCUCCCGGAACGAUCAUGAAAAUUUGCUCUGGAGAUUUUCCCUGUCACGCCUUCAUGUGCUACUUCAUGCUGAGAAAUUACACGUGCAUAUGUCAAAAAAAUGGUCUAGAUAAUAUCGUCUAGAAUCGAAAAACAGCGGUUAGAUCUGGCCAUCCUAUCAAGAAAGGCAAUCAUUGCAUCCCACAUACCCAGCGGAUUUCUUCAGGCUUGAAAGUUGCUCUCCACUUAAUCGUCUCUUCCAGCAUUUUCUUUGCCUUGUCAACAUUCCAGUUCCGAGCUUCCAAAUACCUUCUCAAGCAUGAAUCAGUGCAGUACUGUAAACUACGACCAGAUAGAGGUCCAAGAGCAGCCCUGAGCUCACAAACCUGCUUGUCGAAAAACCAUUAAUUUAAUGUCUAUUUUCAAUCCACUUAUUCAUGAUUUCUUCAGGAGACGAAAAUCACAGAGUAAAAAACGUCCGUCCGACUCAAACUUUACCUUUGCAUCUCGUUCUGAAGGGUCAUUCUCCUGCUGAGUAUGUGGCUGCCUUCUUAUAAGAUACAUGUUGACUGCAAAAAGAGUUUAACUUGUGUUAAGAAAUCAAUCCUCCUUCUACAAUUAGAAGAAAAAAAAGUCAUGACAUCUAUUUUCUCCCUUAAUCUUCAUCAAUUAGAAGCAAAAUUAGUAUUCAUAGAAAAUAAACUUUCCCAUUGAAAUAAUUUUCAUCAACUAGGCUCUGUCAUGCCAUGGACUUUCUGCUUUCUUUCUUAUGCUAUUAAUUUUUUGAAUAGCAAUACCAAGUCAAGUAUUUUUAGUAAUCAUCAGGCACACAGCAUAAUAGCCUGAUCACUCUAGCAAAAACUAGAAGUUAUAAUUAGAACCUGAAAGACCCACCAAGAGAACAAAUUCUAAAGUAAUAAUUUUGAAGAAAGCUAGGGUUUUGAGCUUCAUUUCGGAUGGAAAACCAAAAGGGCCUUUCAACAAGAAACAAAAAAACCAAGAAAAAAUCGUUUAGUCAUGCUAAACUCAAAGCUUACAGUUACUCCAACAAAGGAAGGUGGAAAAAUAAAACUAGCAAUGAUGAAAUGAAUUGAGAUAUAGGAAUGUCAAACUGGCAAACCUAUAUAAUGAAGCAGAAGUGAAGAACUCUCCACUGAAGCUCUAUCAAGGCCUCUUGUGUUUCAGAAAUGAAAUGGUAUCUGGGAGUUUGUUUAAAUGAGGCGGUUUCCUGCUUUUAUAUUGAGGAAGCAAGAGCAAAAGACUUGACCUGGCAUGGCAUGGCAUGGCGUUUCAAAGUCUUUGUACAAACACUGCUCUGAAAAAAAAAUAUGUAUAUAUUUCGAAGUCUUAUUAACGUGUAAUUUUCUCAGAUGUGAUGUUAUUUGAGAUCUUUGGAUUCAGAUCCAAAUAUCAAGAAGGGUUAUUGAGAUGAUUUGUGCUAUGAAGACUAUAUAUGUGUUCGUAAAUAUGUAUGUUCCGAGGAUUUGUAUUUCUGAGAUGGUGAUUUUGAGAAAAAUAUUUAAUGAAAUUAAUGUUGCUGGAAAUUAAAUAGAUAAAAUUCUAAUUUAUAUAUACUAAAUUUCUUAUCUUUGUUCAAAAACGAAUUUUUUUUAGGUGUUGAAUUUCUCUUUGAAUGGUCAAUAUUGUGUGAUAUUUUGAAUUCUUGUUAUUAAGGUUCCAACUAUAAUGGGAGUUUUUAAGUUAUUUAAAUAAUACUCAUUAAUUUUAUAAUUUAUUUAUUUUAUCUGAAUUAGGAGUCUCCAUUGAAAUAGCAAGUAUUUUCGGGUCAAUUGGGAGUUGCUGGCUGCGUCCACAGCCUAAUUCUUUUCGGUAUCUUCUACGAGCAAACAUAAAAAGGUUUGGUCACACAUCACUGUUGUGUAAGAAAUUAAUAAAUCAUUUACAUAAUGAUAUCAAAUGUAUGUGUAUAAACCAUGAUUUUUCAUGUCAUAUAAACGUUAUUCAAAGUACAUAAAAGGCUACCUGUUUGUUUUUAUGUUUUAAAAGUAUUUUUUAAAAAAAAUAAAUUUUUUUAUUUUUUUUAGUUUAAAUUAAUAGUUUUUUAGUGUUUUUAGAUAUUAUGAUGCGCUGAUAUUAAAAAUAUUUUUUAAAAAAAAAACAUUAUUUUGAUAUAUUUUCAAGUGAAAAGCACUUUGAAAACCGUAACAUCAUUAUAUUUUUUUUAAAAAUACUUUUAAAAUAUAAAAAUAAACAGGAAAGUGAUGAGAAUAUAUUUUUAACUAUAUUUUUUUAAAAGACACUUGUGGUCUAUGCAUGGUGUUUGUUUUUAUUUUUUGAAGUAUAUUUCAAAUUAUUUUUUAUGAUUAUAUUUUAGUUUUUGUAAAAUUGAAUCCAUCUUAAAUUAUUAUUGCAACUGGUGGCAUGAUCCUUUUAGGUAUAUUCAUCUUCAAUUACAAAUUAGGAAUGUAAAAAAUAGCAAUCUGAACUGGUCAGCUUCUUCUUCUCCGCUACCAAUAUCCAUCUUUUCUGAUUCCUUAUUUUACCAAAAUAAAAAAUAGAACCCUGAUAUAAAAUACCAAGAUAUUGGGAGAAGAUGAUAUCAUUAUUAAUGACUAAAUAAUAUAUGAUUAGAAAAAAACUAAUAAAUUGUCAUGCUUCAAUUAAUGACACAUGUAAAAACAAUUAAAAAUAAAAAUAGGCUAUGUCAGUAUGACGCCUGCUUAUCAUGAGCAUGUGGUGUGACAAAAAAAAAUGCCAUGUCAUCUGGACACAUAAAAAUUUGAAUAUUAUAGCGAUCACUUCAUCCAUUUCACUGCAUAACGAUCAAGGUGUGAAAUGAAAAUAUACUCUUUUUUUUCCUGGUGAGAAAACAGACGAUAGUUUUCGAAUCAAAAUGCUAAUGAUCCAUGAACAAACAAUAGGUAUGAUAGUCCCUCGUAGCUUACAUGAUCGUUAAUUUCAGGAUCUAUAAAAUUAGUCGAGGUAUAUAUAAACUAGUUCGGACACCCACAUUAAUCAAAAAACAAUAAGAAUCUAUGAAAAAUACCAUUGCGACUACCUACAUCCAUAAAUAUAGACUAUAAUAUUUAAGAUUAUUGACAAAAUUUAUAAAAAUAUUUGUACUGAAACAAUUGGUUUUGAAAAAAAAGAGAGUAAAUUUUCACAUCACUAGUAAUUUUUUUCCUUUAAAAUCUACAUCAAUAAAUAUAAACCAUAAUAUUUAAUACUAAGAUGUUGUCACUUCCACGUUUUAGCAUAUAUAUUUAAUAUCUGGCAAGGUCUGUUCCCGCGCUUUACCCCAAAGGAAGGUUUUGGUAAUUAUAAAGUAGUGUUUGAUUAAUAUUAUUUGAUAGAAGGAAAAAGCGACAGAAAUAAUAUAAAAUAAAUUUAUUUUUAAAACAGUUUUGAAAUAAAUUUAUGUAUUUUAUAAUAAAAUAAUAUAUAAUAACUAAACGCUAUUAGAUAGUUUACGAUAAAUCUUGAAGAUAAUGGUAGAAAUUGAGAGGAUUGAAGAUAUAUAUAUAUAUAUAUAUAUAUAUAUAUAUAUAUAUAUAUAUAUAUAUAUUUUAUUUGAGGAAACUUUAUUCCUUGAAAAGCGUAUUUUGUGGGCUUAGGUGAGCGAUUAAAACCUCAGCUGUCCUAGACUCUUACAAGAAGUGCACGUCCUGAUUCGAACUCGAGACCUGCUAUGCAGAUCUCAAGCUCUUUGUCAUCACGCUACGUCUCUUGGGACUGAAUCGAAGAGAUAUUGCUAAAGCUUGGUAAAGAUUUCUUUCGAUUCUUGUUAAGCAAAUCUCACCAAUAGAAUUUCAGAGAGCACCAUCGCAGCUUGGUCACGCUGAGUUUUUGUUUGAAAUAAUGUCUGGCCACAUGCUUUUUUAGCAUUUCUUGGUGCCCUCCUACGUUGAAUAAGGAGGGUUUGCUUGCAACUUUGAAUCAAAUAAUAAUGAGGCUGAAUCGUUGACUAAAUCUCUUGGCGCAAACGAAAGGAAGAAAGGGACCGGAAUCGUCGUUUUGUCAAACCAUGUACAGGUGUAUUCUGGAGAGUGUAACACCAUCGCUAAGCAAUGAUCCUGUUAGUUUUUUGUACUAAUUCUUUCUUUUUAUUUUUUUAUUGCCUCUCGAUUCACAGAUCAGGUGUUGUUGCUUCAGGUGACCAAGUUUCCUUUCUUUAUUGUUGUUAUUGUUUUUGGUUUUACUUUUCAAGUCAUUAAUUCUCAGGUCAGCAACGAGGAUGUGGAUAUGCAUAUUAACAUGAGAGAGAGAGAGAGAGAGAGAAUAUGUUGUGCUUCAAGAGUUACUAUCAGCUAUCGUUUUGCACCUGUUUUUGUAUUUGCAAUGUAAAAAACAUAAUAAGGUAUCUGGUAACCAUAAAAAUUGUGUUUUAUAUUAUGGAAUUCACUAAAAAAAUUGAAUUUAAAAUGCAAUUUUUGUGCAACCACAUAACUACCAAACAUUUUAUAAAUGUUUUUUUACUGCAAAUAAACCUCAACCAUAAUUUUUACUAAACGUAUAUCUAAAUCCAACUAACCACACCUAACCAUGCUUUUUUUAAAUUUAUUUUUUUCAAACUACAACCAUACAAGUUACCUCAAAAAUAAACGCACUCUCUAGAGUGUGAUAACAGUUAAUUUUUAAAAUAUUUUUUAUAUAAAUACAUUAAAAUAAUAUAUUUUUUUAUUUUUUACAUUAGUAUAUCAAAACAAUCCAAAAAUAUAUAAAAAAUUAAUUUUAAAUAAAAAUAAUAAUUGAAUUUCAACCGAUCUCUAUUUGAACCGCAAUAUUAAACAUGGGCUUACACAUCAACUCUUGGAGGUGGGCUUAGUGAAAAGGUUCAAAUUUAAGGAUGGCUAUUAACCUGGUUCCUUUUCCUGGGUUAUUUGAAACUAGAUAAAACUUGGUAGGGUUCAUAUAAGGCCCAAGAGAGAUUAUUAUCAUAAUUAGGAAAGAAUUGCUAUUCCGUUGACUUUUGAAGCUGACUGCUAGCCUGCACAUUUUGAUUUUUUUUCUUUGACUUUUCUUUUUUGAGAAGAACAGUACAUGAAUGAUAAGACUUGGCCCAUCUGUCUCCAAUUCAUGAAUAGCGAGCGAUACCAUCGGUGGCUGGAAGUCUUUUUCUUGCACUAGGGAUUGUUGGAUCCAAGCCAUGAGCCAGAUGGGCAUAUGCCUGAACAAUUGACUUUCCUUACAAACCAAAAUCGUGCUGGCGUCAAGCCAAUUAACAGCUAGCAAGUCAAGUUUCAGGCUAAAAUAAAUAAGCAUUAAAUAAUAAGUAUUCCACAGACCAAACAUUGAUUAGGUCCUGGAAAAAUCUCUAAACUAUCCUCCACGGGAUAGCAAGCCACGCAAAUGGCCCAGCGUUACCGUCCAGCAAAAGAAUCUAUUACUUCUCAAAGAAAACGACCUCACUGAUAGUAAUUGAGAGGAACAAGGAGGAUUAUACUUUUUUUCUACCAAGAAAGAUACAGGCAAGACAAUGGAGCUUGUUUGCAGAAGCUUCAGGGUAGAAAGAGGGUCAUCAAUAAAGUUUGGGAGAUCGAACAGUUCACUGCUGAUAUCAGAAUCUAUAUCCUCGGAAUGUACACGAGUUGCCCGCUAUGAGAAUCUUUCAGCUUCUAUGAGGAUGAGCAAUGAUCAGGAUAUCGGAUAUAGGAGCAGGAAAAGCAGGGCUUACACGUUUAUAAGCAAGGUUUUCAGCUUCAGGAAAAUCUCCAGCGAUUGUGAGACAAGGCAGCAAGCAGAUAUGGUGACUCAAGAGGAGAAAAAAGAGAAGAAGAAAAGGUCUUCGUGGCUUCCUGAUCCUGAAAGGAGAUGGCCUGUGCAGGGUUGGUGAUUUACAGUCAAAGUCAAGGAGCUAGGCAUGGCAAUAACUAAGAUCAUUAACUGGGUUUUCAUUCCUCCGGAUCUCAUGUGGCGAGAAGAUUGAAGAAAUCUCAAGGAAAAGGAUAGAAAAGACUACGAGGAAAUGCUCAGAUAGUCAAUUGAUCACAUGGCUAGAUUAUCAAAAAGGAAGCAUAGCAUUUAUUACUUCAAAACGAUUUGUAAUGUUCCCACCCAAUUAUUAAAUUGUUCUUCUCACCAACAACCCAAUUUAAAACCCAAGCAAAGCAGGUCUAUACGAGAUGGCUUCGUGGAAAAUAAUCCAUAAACCUCAAGCAGAAUAGAUUUAGCUUAUGAUGCUGCUAGUUGUAUUCUGCAAUGUCCAUGAAUAAUACAUUGCUAUUUGUAAAGCUUGUAAGGUGAAGGACCUACUGGGUUCUAUCCAAAUGCCCAGACUGCUUGAACCCCUUGAUUAUGAGCAUCGGGUCUUUGAAAGUUCUUGCUUAUGAACUUCCGAUGUGAUGAACACUUCAGUAGCCAAUAGGCAACACUUGAUGAAAGGCAGCAAUGUCUCCGACAAGAACCAUGAUUUUGACAAACAUGCGAAUAUAACGAGAAAAGGCUUCUUCUGAUCAAGUUACCUUGCCUUGAAUUGAAUAUGAAGCAUCUGAAUUAAUUGAAUAUGUUUAACAUAAGAACAUAGAAGUCCCAGCACAGAAAUUUGUUGUUAUCAAGGACAGGGCCUAGGACAAAUCUCUCAUAAUAUGGUAGGUAGAUAGAGAACAAUACUAAAAGGGAUCCCUACACAAGUUCCAUUUUGCAAGAAAUCAGUAAAUUAUCAAUCAAAAAACUAUAUGAACAUGAUAAUGGAAGACUAAGAGCAUCAUGAUCAGUAGCUUUAGGUCUAUUAGAGUGAUGACACAGCAGAAAAAUAACUCUUUGAAUGUAAAUUGGAAUCUUCAUUGAAUGCCAACAAUCCUGGGUUUUGCACUUAACAAUGAAGAACAUACAUGUUUCAUAAUCGUAUAUAUUCCAGAUGGGUGCGAAUGCGAUAGCGAUUAAAAGCCAUAGAUGAUCUGAAUUUUGUGCCAAUAGCUGAAAAAUCAUUUACGAUUCGUUAGAUGAGUUUUCUUUAAAAAAUUACAAAUUCUUCACAAGCAAGCAAAAAAAAUAUUCUUUUUUCGUUAUAAUCACGCAGGUUACUGUUAGAUAUGAUAAGAUUAGAUGGAAACAACAAAUAAAGAUUUGAAACACUCUACAGGGGUGUUUGGCCUUCGUUUUAACUAAAGUUUUGUAUAUUUUUAGAAGAAAAUGUUAAAUUUAUAUUAAUUUUUUUUAUUGUUUUAAUACGAUGAUAUCAUAAAUAAAUUUUUAAAAAUAAAAAAUUAUUAUUUUAAUAUAUUUUAAAAUAAAAAAUAUUCUAAAAAAAAAAUAUUUUAAAAAGCAAUCUCUAUAAAUAUUCUAUCACUAUCCUAGACAACUUUUAAAAAAACUGGCAGCUGUCAUUUGCACGCGUGCAUGUGAUUUUUUUGGGUUUUAACAUCAAUCAAUCCGGCAGCAAUAUAAUAUGCGGCAAGCAUAUUAAGAAUGUGUUUGAAAUUGUAACGUGAUGUCUGUUUAAAAUAUUUAUUUUAUUUUUAAAAAAUUAUUUUUUAUAUCAGUAUAGUAAAAUAAUUUUAAAAUUAAAAAAAUUUAAAUAAAAUUUUUUUAAAAAAAAAACUAUGAUUUACAACAUGUUCCCGAACACUACUUAAAUUUAAAUAAAAUAAAAAAUAAAAAAAAAAUAAUCUAUAGUUAUGUUUCACUCGUGUUUUGAAAUUCAACAUGAUUUGAUGAUUUUAUUAAAAAAAUAAUUUAAAAUAACUUUUUAAUUAAAUUAAAUAAAAUAUAAAUUUAAUAAAAUUUAUUUGACUUGCUAAGUUUUUAAUAACUUAAUUGAUUCAAUAAUAUUCAAUUUAAAUCUAAUCAAAUCAAUAAACAUGAAGAAAAAAACCAUGUCAUUUAAUUACAAAAUCAAAAUCUCUAAUCUCUAAUCUCCUCUUAUCUCAGCACAAAACAACUAAACGGCCAUAGAUAAAUAAAGUUUGAAAAAACAUGUAUCUCUCCAAUCAUCUUCAUGUUAUUUUCUUGUUUUCUUUUGUUUCAAGGAAUUAUUAUUGUUUUGUUUUAUUUUGUUGUGUUUGCAUCCUCGGUGCUCAAGGUCCUCCAAAAACAAAAUCAGUGAGGCAUGGUAGCUUGACCAUUUUAGUUUUUCGCCUGCUUUUGCUUAUAGGUUAUGUAAAUAUGUAGAGAUUUUUUUAAUAGUGAUUGUUGAAAGACUUAAAAAAGCCUAAGAGGGAGUGAAUUAGAGCUUCAUUUAUUUUUUAUUGCCAUUUUAAAAAUAAUCUCCAAUUUACUCAAAAUAGUUUAAAUUAAUCUCAAUUUCUUUAACAAUGUCUAAAUCAAAAAUUAAUACCAAAACUCACAAACUAUAUCUUAAUACACUAAGAUAGCCAAAACACCGAAGUAAUAUAAUUGAUCAUAAAUAAAAAGAUAAGGAUAGAGCGAGACACACUAAUUUUAUAGUGGUUCAGAUUAAAUAAUCCUUCUAUCAGGCUUAAAAUUAAACUCAAUACUUUUAUGGGCUAAGGAUUAAACAUGUCUCAAUUGUUUUUUCGAACUCAAUAUUAAAUACAAUUUUUUUUACAGGCUAAUAAUCAAACCCAUCACUUGAUUUUUUCAUGAGCUCAAGAUUGAAAACUUAUCACACAAAUUUUUUUUGAAGAUCCUCUCUCAAAUUCACACCUAAAGAAUAAAUCUAAGUGGUUAAACUGUCACUUAUACUUUUUAUAAUAUAUUUGUUUCUCACAAGAGAAAGAUUACUCCUUACAUGCUGAAAAGAUUACAAUAUAUAAACUCAAGUAUUUAUAGAAUGUAAUCUAACACACAAAGGUGAAAGAGUGAUUUUGAUGUUAUAAGAUUCAAAGAUUUUUAAAAGAUUACAGAAGAAUAAUCAAAACUUUUUAGAAUAAGAAAUAUCACACAUCAUGUGCAAGAACAAUUAGAAAUACUAAAAAUGUGUAUUUAUUGAAAAACCCCAAAACUAGUUAUUACUUAUGUUAAAAUUAUAAAUUUAUCACCUUAACUGAUAAUAAAUAAAUGAUAUAAAAACCAAUGUGAUAAUAUUUUUAGCUACAAUUGGUUAUUAAAAUAUAUUAUAGUGCAAGGCACAUAAUAAGUAUUAUGCUCUUCAUUUAAGUGUAAAUAACAAAAUAUAUGAUGAAAUAUUUUUGGAUGAAAAUAUAUAUGGCAAAAAAAAAUAUUUUUUAUGAUGUAAAAUUAUAUUCCAUAAAGAUUUGAUCACACAAAGAUAUGAUUUGAAGAAUCUUCAAGUUAAGUUUGCAUCCAAAGAGUCUAUAAUUUCAGUCUGAUGUAGAAAAAUUCUUAUAAUAAUAAUACUUUGACAUAUAUAUUAUAUGCAAUAAUAUAUUGUUAUCAUCAAAACAAAUAAUCCUUGACCGAUUAAAGGAUUAAAGGCCUCUCAUAGUAAAUGAGUUGUAUAUUCAUCUUUUCCUUCUACAUUUCUUAUGAUCAUUUCUAGAAAUGGAAACAAAUGAGGGAAAAAAAGAAGAGAAAAGCUUCAAUUUUCGAAUAUGAUAUAUACAAAUUAAUCAAUGUAUUACAUAAAUUUCUCCUAACUAAUGAAAGAUUGAGUUGUAAAUGAUGAUAUAUGGAGUUAUUGAAAAUCCUUCAAAGAUAAUUGAAACAUUUCAUUUGUCUCUUCCUAGCGAUUUCUACUCUACAACAUUACGUUGUCUUUUAUUUCAUAAACAAUGUCGUCUUUUUUAGUGCUCUUUUCCUAUUCUGUUUAUUUCACUGAUGGAAAUAGGGCUUCUAGGUAUUCAACCGAGGGAGUUCUCAAAAAAUGUGAUUUUUUUUUUACUUAAAAUAAAAAAAUUAUGUUUUCAGUUUUUUUUAUGUGCUGAUUUUAAAAAUAAUUUUUAAAAAAUAAAAAAAAUUAUUUUAAUGUCUUUCCAAGCAAAAAACUUUUGAACCAUCACCGUUAUUAUAAUCUCAAAUAGACUCUAAAACUUAGUGAAUUACUAGUUUUUUGUUGUAUUUUUGCUGCGAUUGAAUCUAAAUAUUUUAGAAUAUAAAAAAAAUAUUAUUUAAAAUAUUAAAAAAUAAAUAGUAUUGUUAUUAGCGUUUCAUAUUUAAAAAAUCUUGACUCAGUUAUUUUCUUAGUUUAAAUUUUAAAUUAAUUUGACUUAUUUUUUUAUAAAUUAUUUCAAUUUUGCUAUGAUAGUAACGUGUGACUAUUUUCUAAUCUACAACUAAAUUUAUCAAAACUCUAUGAAAGUUUUCUUAUCCUCAUUCUCAUUCGAGAUACUAGGAGCUCUCCAUUGGUUGAACUUUGAGUUCUUGUUUGCACUUAAGUUUUUUCAUUUGAAGAGCACAUUUAUGUGUUUUUUUUUAAUGCCUUUUCUUUUGUUUUUUUAUUGCACAUAUUAAAAAUAUAUACAUUGUGUUCAGAAUGUAAUGAGGCUUAUCUAGGUAAUUAAUUUGGCAAUGUACUAGGUUAACUUUUCCCUGCACUAUGGCUAUAUCUUGUAUCAAAAAAAUUUAGAAUGUCAAAAAAAAAAUAUUUAGAUUAUAAAAAUCUUUUUGAUAUUAUUAUUAAACUUAAUAUAAUAGUUCAAAUUUAAAAAAUUCUUAACCAACUCUUUACUUAGCCUAAAUUUUAAAUUAAAUUGUGUUCUAACAUGACUUUAUCAACUAAGCAGGUAAAAAAAAUCAAAGAAAAAGGAAAAAAAUUGGUCAUGUUCACUCUAAUCAACUCAUCCAAUCCGUGAAUGGACUCCACUUAGUUGAAUUAAUUUGUUUAUUUUAUUAUAUGAUAAAAAAAUACAAAAAUAAUUUACAAUCAAUUCAAUACUAAAAAAUAAAAUUCAAUAAAAACUAUAAUAUAAUUAAAAAAUCUCAAAGGGCCAAUAAAAAGAGCCCGGAUCAUAAUAUAUAAUUUAAUGAGUCAAUGCAUUGGAUAAAAGGCCAUGGCUAGUUUAUAUGUAUCGCGCUCGAUAAAUCUCCUGAGCUCUCUGGUCUGCCAUCCUCACUUUUUCUAUUUUUACACUAGGUUGAAUUUGAGACAAGACAACUUCCUAUUUUUUUCCGCAAACGAGAAGCUGUAUUUCUUACUAAAUUAAUUAAUUAAUUAAUUAAUUAUAUUACAAAAUCCCAUUAAUUAUAUCUAUUUCAAACCUCUCAAUUCUUUUUUCAGAGUUAUGAUUUUUCUUUUUAUUUAGUCAUAAUUGCUCAUCCCAUUGAUUGAUUUUAUCUUUAAUGAAAUAUUUAAUUUAAUUCAUCUCCAAUCACCUAAAAUCCAAUGUGAAUAGAUUUUAGUUUGUAUAUUUGUAAAAAAAAAUAUUUUAGAAAACAAAUAUUUUAGAAAACCCGAAAUAUGUAUAUUCCACAAAUCCAAUGUGAAUAGAUUUUAGUUUGUAUAUUUGUAAAAAAAAAAUAUUUUAGAAAACAAAAAUCAUAUUAUGAACCCGUAGUGAAAUAUGUAUAUUCCACGCCAUUUAGUAUUUUCUAUAAAAUAAUAUAAUGCGUAUCCCUGAAAACACUAUGAAAAAUAAAUUUUAUGAACAAAAAAGGUAUUAAUUUCUUUUAUGACAUCAUUUGUUCAUUAAAAUGUAAAUUAUUUUAUUAUAUUUAGUUGUGUAAUAAAUGAUGAGUUGAAAAUUUAUUCUUACCGUUUUUGCGUAUAUUGAAAAACCAAUUACAAAAGCUAGUAUGAAGCAUGCAAAGAUUAAAUGUGGUUUUUUAAACUCGAAUGAAAUAUUUAAAUAUAAUUAUUUCGUAAUUCAAAUAAAAUCUAAUUGUCAUAAAAUGUAAUUAUCAUAUAUUUUAAAAUUAAUACUGCAAGUUAAUACUUAAAAAAAAUAAAAAUAAAAAAGAGGGUGAGAAGUAGUAGAAUAAACAAAAGAAUUGUGCUAUACAAAAAAUUGACUGAUUAUUUUAACAAGAGCUAGAAAACCGCCAAAUAAUUGCUAAUAAAUUAUUUUAUUUUUACUAAGAAAUGUAAUAUUGCUUUCAAACGAUUUAUUUUACUUUGUUUAAAAGAUUAAUAAGAGAUCCGAGUGGAUUUGAACCACCAGCCUCUCAAAUCCCCAUUACGGGACUUUGAGCGCUCUACCGUUUUGAGCUUACGGAUCUUAUCAUCAUUGAAGAACGGGCAUCAAAACGAGAGUUACCUCUCCCCUUUUCUUUUCUCAUCUACAAAUCCUCCUCUACUUAAUUACCAAAGUUACCACAAAAUGAAUUUUUUUAAUGACCUGACCUUUUUUCACGGGCAAAAACACAUUUCCAAUACAAAUAUCAAUUGACUAAACAAAUCAUUAAUAAAGAGCUGACCGCAUCAAGCCAGAUUCCUGCCUGACACAUUUACACUAAUGUGAAUCAUUUAUCACCGGAAGCCAUAUUUACAUAACCGUUGUGACGUUGAUUUGAAUAAUAAAAGAACAUGUUCAGGGGAAAAUACAUUCUACCAAUAAAAAAAGAUACAUUCAAGAUAAAGUUUGAUACUACUUUUGUAUUAAAAAUACCAUAUUUUAAAAACAAAAAUUCUUAAUAUUGUUUCAUUAUAAUUACAUUUAUUAUAAAAAUUAAAUUUAUAGCUCUAAAAUAUAUACAUUUCAUAUUGUUAAAAAGAACACGCAGAAAAAUUACGUUAGUCGUGUUUUUUUUUUAAUUUCAAAAAUUAAAAAAAAAACUCAGAUAUAUUAUAGGUGCAAAUUUAAAAAAAAAAACAUCUGAAACUAUUUAUAAGUUCUUCCAUAAUUUUCACAAAGUCGAAAAAUAACAACUUGAGAUUGUAUAUAGCUAAAAUAGUGUAUGAAAAUCCAAUGAUAGACAUAAAGAAAGUGUUGAAUAAUAUAAUGCCGGAUGUAUUGCUUUUUAAAUGAACAUGAACUAGCUUAUUAGAAUUUUUAUUGUACUUUUAUUUUUAACAUAUCAAAUUCAUAAAACAGUUCUUAAAAAACAAAGACACUAACACAUUGGACACUUCAAAUAUAUAUUUAAUAUUGUGAUGACAGUAAAUUUUUAAUUAAAAAUACUGUAAAUUUUUUUUCUUGGUUCGACAUUAAAACUAAAAAAUCAGUUUAAUACUUGCAAUUUCAUAAUCCGAGGACUGCAAUUACUAAUAUGGUUGUUCUGGCGUGUCUUUGAAUAAAUAAAAAACACCCGAAAGCUUGAUUUGAAAGAACUUCGGUCAGGGAUGAGCAUCAAUCACCACCAUCUGGUCACCGGAAAGGCAUAACCUAACCUUCCAAUACGUGGCAAUUCAUGAAACCUAUCAUGUGAAACUUCUGGAAGAACAAUACGUGGAAAAUUUGGUAUUUAAAUUAAAUUGCUUCGCCUAAAAAGGCAUUAAAUUGAUGCUAAUAUCAAGAAUAUUAUAUUGAAAAACACUAAUUAAUUACCAAAUACCAAAGACAAUGAGAGAGGACCACUUUUCUUCGAAUUAGUGGGAAAGGAUAGAUAGAUAAUUAUGAGCAUGUUUUAAUAAAACGGCACAUAAAAGAGAAGACACGCAGCAUUUACUGACUUGUAGAAUAACGACUUCAGUAGAUUACUACAUCUCCAGCUAAAACAAGGAAACCAUAGCAGCGCAGAUUUUAAACUGAAUGACACUGAACAACAAUUUAAUUGAGUGCUUUAUUUUUCUUUCAGGUGGAAUAGUAAACCAUUGAAGAACUUAUCACCUCAAAAUUGUGUGGCUCAAUUGAGAAUUGCGUGAGGACCUCCUGAGCUUUCUGUCGCCCUUUGAAGCCAUCAUCAUGAUCGUUGAAGCUCAGCAGCACAAGGUCUUUACAAACGUGGAUCGCCUACUGAGGACUACAAAUCCAUCUUCAACGCUACCAUACUAAGGCCAAAUCACUCACACCCAGAGAACCAAACAAGAAGAUCCAAUUGCAAAUCACAAGACUAGGUAAGAGCCACUUAAAUCCAGCCCCAAGGUCUUACAAGGAUAUCAUAGAGGACAAUAAGCUUAAUUAACAUACUUGCUACAAAAUAUGUAAUUGUAAAACGCUAGCAACAAUAGUAAAGCUAUCGAAACAGAAAUUCUGCGCAAGAUCGCAGUAAUGGAUUGACAAGCUAUAUCUAAAUAAACAAAACUCGUGCUCAUGUUUGCUCUGUAAAAUAAUAACAUGAGAUGCGUGCGUUGGAUAAUGAAAUAACUUGGAACGAAUGUUACCUGCAAUAACGGGGUGGUGCAAUGGAAUAAAAGCUUGAGUGCAAGGAAAGCAUACUGUUUAAUAUAGAAUAGAAGGUAAGCCCUGAUAUCAUAAUUUCCAGUGUCUUUGUUUUUUAUGUACUCUGUGAUGUGUGACUGCCAGUUUCAAGUGCUGAAACAUGUUUUAGUAGAAUUCUCUUAAUAGCCCAUAUUACCAAGAUGAAUAUUUGAUGGGAGCAGAUAGUGAUGAACAAUGAGAACCCAGAUUACAAAUUCAUGAUCUUGCUAACGACUGAUUCUACGUGAAGGGGCAUGUGACUACAUGAUUCUAAGUGCAGGAAAAUCGAAUUGAGGAUAUAGGAUAUAAGUAGGAGAAUACCUUCGGGUCACCGUCAUAAAUUGCAAUAUCGUGCCAUGGAUGAAUUGAUUGCUAGCUGGAGUCGGGGCCGCGCUUUAGCCAUGGAUUGUAAGGCAAAGAGAAGAGAAAGCGGGACACAGAGACUAGAGGGGAGAACCCGGGAAAUCCCCGUGCGAUCUCCCCUCCAAACACGAAAAUGAUAAUUUUAUUAAGAUAGUGGUUGACCUGCCAUGCAAGCGCACCUGUCAUGGCAAAGGUCGGAUGACAAAGAUAAUAAACAAGACCUUGGCCUCUUGGCCUUCUGGUCCCGAUAUAUAUCUUAUACAUCAUCCUCAUAAAUAAAUCGAACACCAACACCAGCAUCAUCUCCUUCCUGUCCUUCUCCACCAACAAAUUACACAUAACAUGCUACACCACAGCUCACAUAACCAAUCUUCAGCCAUGUCUACAUCCAGCAACACGUUCAGCGGAUUCUGUAACUGCUUACAACACCACCUGCAGAAAAAAUCUCAAAUCAUCUUCUGCUUUCCGCCAACAACCAAACUUAAAUAUUGCUAAAAUUCCUCAUGAUCGAAGAAAGCAUGGCCGGAAGGGACAGAUCCGCUUAAUAUUUGAGCUAUCGAAACAGAGCCGCGCCACAUCUACAGAACAAAAUUAGAUUUACGCGGAUUAAUGACUUGAUCAAUAACCAAUAGACAGAUAUUCAAUCAGAUCUAGCUUAGGAACGUAAACAAAACACUUAUACAUACCUCUGGAGCUAUCUCCGAGCAAAUCAAGAUCAUGGAGUUCGAGCAUCGAAACGGAUAUCAAGAUAAAGAUCGCAAGGCGAUCUAUAUGAAGCUGCAAUUGAAAAGAUCGAAGGAUGAUCCAUGAAGAGUAGAUCUAUGGAGAAACUAGAGCUUUGCUGAUAAGAUUAGGUAGAUAUGAAAGUUGUGUAUGUGAUUAUUAUAUAGAGG